Molecule: ribosomal RNA, 613 nt
Filed under: uncultured bacterium
Lineage: Bacteria
Description: bacterial SSU rRNA
Rfam family: Bacterial small subunit ribosomal RNA
Source: RNAcentral
CCUACGGGAGGCAGCAGUGAGGAAUAUUGGACAAUGGGCGCAAGCCUGAUCCAGCCAUGCCGCGUGCAGGAUGACGGUCCUAUGGAUUGUAAACUGCUUUUAUACGGGAAGAAACCCUGGCUCGUGAGCCAGAUUGACGGUACCGUAAGAAUAAGGAUCGGCUAACUCCGUGCCAGCAGCCGCGGUAAUACGGAGGAUCCAAGCGUUAUCCGGAAUCAUUGGGUUUAAAGGGUCCGUAGGCGGUUUAAUAAGUCAGUGGUGAAAGCCCAUCGCUCAACGGUGGAACGGCCAUUGAUACUGUUAGACUUGAAUUAUUAGGAAGUAACUAGAAUAUGUAGUGUAGCGGUGAAAUGCUUAGAGAUUACAUGGAAUACCAAUUGCGAAGGCAGGUUACUACUAAUUGAUUGACGCUGAUGGACGAAAGCGUGGGUAGCGAACAGGAUUAGAUACCCUGGUAGUCCACGCCGUAAACGAUGGAUACUAGCUGUUGGGAGUAAUCUCAGUGGCUAAGCGAAAGUGAUAAGUAUCCCACCUGGGGAGUACGUUCGCAAGAAUGAAACUUAAAGAGUAGUAGCGNGUGACGNGACGACGACGACGACGACGGAGGAGGAGG